CGGGAGGCAGCAGUUAGGAAUCUUCCGCAAUGGGCGCAAGCCUGACGGAGCGACGCUGCUUGGAGGAUGAAGCCCUUCGGGGUGUAAACUCCUGAACUGGGGGCGAAAUCCCUGAUGAGGGGGCUGACGGUACCCAGGUAAUAGCGCCGGCCAACUCCGUGCCAGCAGCCGCGGUAAUACGGAGGGCGCGAGCGUUACCCGGAUUUACUGGGCGUAAAGGGCGUGUAGGCGGUUUGGCGCGUCUGGCGUUAAAGACCGCGGCUCAACCGUGGGGGUGCGCUGGAUACGGCCAAGCUAGACGGCUGGAGGGGGUGGUGGAAUUCCCGGAGUAGCGGUGAAAUGCGCAGAUACCGGGAGGAACGCCGAUAGCGAAGGCAGCCACCUGGCCAGUUUGUGACGCUGAGGCGCGAGAGCGUGGGGAGCAAACCGGAUUAGAUACCCGGGUAGUCCACGCCCUAAAC
Molecule: ribosomal RNA, 461 nt
Filed under: uncultured bacterium
Lineage: Bacteria
Description: bacterial SSU rRNA
Rfam family: Bacterial small subunit ribosomal RNA
Source: RNAcentral